This is an RNA transcript of Notothenia coriiceps (black rockcod), 2740 nucleotides long. It is a transcript of the gene named kelch-like protein 20, with no coding region annotated. The transcript is spliced from 10 exons. The record is from RefSeq and is a predicted model, not a curated record. NCBI's taxonomy places the organism in Eukaryota, Metazoa, Chordata, Actinopteri, Perciformes, Nototheniidae.
UGACACCAAAAAGCUCCGUUGAGGCAAAUCUUUACUGCAGAGCCUGAGCAAAGUGCUGAGGGGAUAAAUCAUGGGUGUGUGCAAUGAACAAGGGGGGACCCUGGAGCCAGAGACUGGUCAUAUGAUGAUCAAAGACAGAAAAGGAGGGUCCCCUCGCAGUCGCCGCACCCCCCUGUCCCAUCGCAGACAGCUCAGCAAGAGAAAAGACAUGAUGUUUGUGGUGGGGGGAUGGACCCAGGAGGACCCAUCUUGUUUGGUAGAGCAGUUCUGUCCUGAGUACAAUGAGUGGCGGGCUGCAGCACGCAUGGUCAACAAUCGUGGCAAAGUGGCCGUGGGCACGCUGGACGGCAUGAUCUACACAGUGGGGGGGGAGGACCACAUCCGCUGUUACAGCAGUGUGGAGAGGUAUAACCCCGACACAGACAGGUGGAGCACAGAUGUAGCACCCUUGAGCAGCCCCCGCAGCGGAUUGUGCCUGGUGGAGAUGGACGGAUACCUGUACGCCAUUGGAGGACACGAUGGCAUCGCUGCUAUUAAUACUGUGGAGAGGUAUGACCCGAGAAUGAACACAUGGAGCAAGCAGGCAGCGAUGCUGGGCAGACGUAGCGGGGGGGUGGCUGCUGUGCUGCAGGGUCAGCUGUACGUGAUGGGGGGCAAUGAUGGGGUGAUGGCUCUCAACUCAGUGGAGCGAUACAACCCUGUAGACGGUACCUGGUCGAUAUGCGCCCACAUGCUGAGUCCCAGGGAGAACGCGGGCUGCACCGUGUACCUGGGACACAUCUACGUGUCCGGAGGCAGAGACGAGCUCAACCUGGAGCUCUGCGGAGUGGAGAGGUUUGACCUGGACAACAUGAGGUGGACUCCUGUCAAACGCAUGAGGAGCAAGAGGGACAAUAUGUCCCUUGUAGUGUUCAAUGGAGCCUUGACGGCUGUUGGAGGCUCUGAUGGUGUCACCAAUCUGAAAACAAUUGAAGUGUACUGUCACGUAACCAACACAUGGAGACACUUUGGAAGCAUGAAGAGCAAGCAUCCAGGAGGCAGAGUGGCUGUGCUGUGCUGAGACUCGACAAUGCUCAUAUUAUAUGAACAGGACAGAGGUGUUAAAGAGAAAUAGCCUAAUGGAUGUACGCCUGGCUCCACAGACACAUUGUGAUAUGGUUUAAGUAAGGCUGCAUAAUGGCCGCAUAAUUGAAGAGUUCACUCUAAAAUGAGACAUCGCUGCAUUAACCAAAGCUGCAGCUGCCGGUACAAAAUGACUACACGUAAUAAAUUAGAGGACAUUAUAGGCUAGGACAUUUUCAUUAAAGUUAUGGGUCUUUUUAUGUGUCGAGCUUAAAAACAUACCCUAUUUUAGAAGGAUGAAUGAGCAGCAAAUAAGUUUCAGGUGUUAUAUGUACAGUAUUUGUCAGAGAAUUGGAUUUAGAAAUAGAUUGCACCAUAAUAAUAGCCAGACCAGCACUGGAUGUUUAAUAUAUCAGCAAAUUCAUCAGCCUUGCAAUUUAAAAAAUGUCAGAGUGCAAUGUUCAAAGUGUCAGAGUUUAAAAAUAAUCACUGGUGUUUCACAAAAUAAGAUACCACUUGAAAAUAUAUUGAUUUGCAUGUAAGAAAGUAACAUGUAUGAGCCAGAAAGAUGGAGGUGAUUGGAUUCUUUUUUGGGGUUAAAGCAGGAUUCAAGUGACAGGAUACACAAUCUUUUGAGCAUUGAGUAUUUUAGUCAAUUUCAGCCUUGAUGUUUUGUGAGGGAUAUUUUGAAGGUGAAAAACUCAGUUGGCUCUUGGAAGUGGAGAAAGCUACUGAAUAUUUUAGAAAUAUGGGCUUGUAAAGCAGCAUAAUGAUACAGAGUAAUGAUGUGAUUUAUGUGUUAUGAGCCUUUUGGAAUUACUACAAAAAAAAUUCUGUGUUUGAAAUGUAGAUGUUCAUCAUAUUUCUAUAUGUUGUAUGUACACUUAGCAUCUGGGAAUAUCUGUGCUGCUAUAAUAUUUUCAAAUAGCGCUUCAGCAUUGACUGUAAACAUAUAUCAUAUUUCAUCAUUUAGCGUGUGUAAACAUUUGCCAAAAGGCACUGCAGCAACAGAACUGGUAAGAAAAUGGGCUGGAUCAAGUUGUGGAAAAGAAAUCUGUGGGAAUGAAGAUCCUGAGUGAGAUAAACGAAUUAGUGAGAUCUGUCUGUUGGCAUGGGAAAGCAUAAGUGGCUGUGUGGGCUUUGAAAUGAUGACGCUCAGAGCUCUUUCCCCUGGAGAAUAAUGGGCUGAAAUGUGGAGAGGCUGAGCACAAGGAACGCACACAGAGCGACGCGGCUUUUCCGGAGAGACACACAACCCAGCGGUGUCUCCCUAUAGUCACUUGGCGAACACAGAAUGAAUAUUUUUUUCAAUAUGAGGGGGACGAUUGUGAGACAAAUAGCAGAGGACAGAGCUCUUGCAGAGGCAGCCAUGAACCCGCCACGCCGGACAUCAAGCCCUCCUCGCCGGACAUCAAGCCCUCCUCGCCGGACAUCAAGCCCUCCACGCCGGACAUCAAGCCCUCCACGCCGGACAUCAAGCCCUCCACGGAGACCAUCAAGUUCUCCUGAUGAUAGGCCCUCCACUGAGAGCGUGCAGAUGAACAACAGCAGCAACUCCGGCGUGAUCCUGGACAUCUCGGCUCUCAAGAUGGCGGAAGUGGACACGGAGGUGCCUCCUCUUCCACCUCGCUAUCGCUUCAGGGACUUACUGCUGGGGGACCAGACCUUUCAGAACGAU